AGAUUCCCGUCUGUCCCUAUCUACUAUCUAGCGAAACCACAGCCGGGGAACGGUCCUGGACAAAUCAGUGGGGAAAGAAGACCCUGUUGAGCUUGACUCUAGUCUGGCCCUGUACGGAGACAUGAGAGGUGUAGAAUAAGUGGGAGACGGGUGGCGGUUCCUUCGCGUGCCCGUUGCCGGUGAAAUACCACUACUCUCAUCGUUUCCUUACUUACUCGAUGAAGCGGAGCGCGUGUGGUCCCCGGCCAAUCACGGAAUUCUUGAACCAAGCGCAAGCGGGUCGUCGGCGUUUGGCGACUAUCCCCGAGCGUGAUCCGAUUCGAGGACCGCGCCAGGCGGGGUGUUCGACUGGGGCGGUACAUCUGUCAAAGAAUAACGCAGGUGUCCUAAGGUCGGCUCAGCGAGGACAGAAACCUCGCCCGGAGCAAAAGGGCAAAAGCCGGCUUGAUCUCGAUGUUCAGCACGCAUAGGGACUGCGAAAGCAAGGCCUUUCGAUCCUUUUGGCUUGACGAGUUUUCAGCAAGAGGUGACGGAAAAGUUACCACAGGGAUAACUGGCUUGUGGCGGCAGAGCGUUCAUAGCG
This 583-nucleotide ribosomal RNA is filed under the name Insnesia drypetes. RNAcentral's name for it is "partial 28S ribosomal RNA". It matches the Rfam family "Eukaryotic large subunit ribosomal RNA", at positions 2330 to 2859 of the family's 3401-position model. Lineage: Eukaryota; Metazoa; Arthropoda; Insecta; Hemiptera; Psyllidae. The record is from RNAcentral.